RNAcentral lists this ribosomal RNA (433 nucleotides) under uncultured bacterium. Its description in RNAcentral is "partial 16S ribosomal RNA". It matches the Rfam family "Bacterial small subunit ribosomal RNA", at positions 29 to 507 of the family's 1533-position model. The record is from RNAcentral.
AACGAACGCUGGCGGCAGGCCUAACACAUGCAAGUCGAGCGAGGACUUCGGUUCUAGCGGCGGACGGGUGAGUAACGCGUGGGAAUGUGCCCUUCUCUACGGAAUAGCCCUGGGAAACUGGGAGUAAUACCGUAUACGCCCUAUUGGGGUAAGAUUUAUCGGAGAAGGAUCAGCCCGCGUUGGAUUAGGUAGUUGGUGGGGUAAUGGCCUACCAAGCCGACGAUCCAUAGCUGGUUUGAGAGGAUGAUCAGCCACACUGGGACUGAGACACGGCCCAGACUCCUACGGGAGGCAGCAGUAGGGAAUCUUAGACAAUGGGGGCAACCCUGAUCUAGCCAUGCCGCGUGAGUGAUGAAGGCCUUAGGGUUGUAAAGCUCUUUCAGCUGGGAAGAUAAUGACGGUACCAGCAGAAGAAGCCCCGGCUAACUCCGUG